GUAGGUGGCAAGCGUUGUCCGGAAUUAUUGGGGCGUAAAGCGCGCGCAGGCGGUUCUUUAAGGCUGAUGUGAAAGCCCACGGGCUCAACCGUGGAGGGUCAUUGGAAACUGGAGAACUUGAGUACAGAAGAGGAAAGCGGAAUUCCACGUGUAGCGGUGAAAUGCGUAGAGAUGUGGAGGAACACCAGUGGCGAAGGCGGCUUUCUGGUCUGUAACUGACGCUGAGGCGCGAAAGCGUGGGGAGCAAACAGGAUUAGAUACCCUGGUAGUCCACGCCGUAAACGAUGAGUGCUAAGUGUUAGGGGGGUUUCCGCCCCCUUAGUGCUGCAGCUAACGCAUUAAGCACUCCGCCUGGGGAGUACGGCCGCAAAGGCUG
Molecule: ribosomal RNA, 376 nt
Filed under: uncultured organism
Description: partial 16S ribosomal RNA
Rfam family: Bacterial small subunit ribosomal RNA
Source: RNAcentral